RNAcentral lists this unclassified non-coding RNA (257 nucleotides) under Hevea brasiliensis (rubber tree). Lineage: Eukaryota; Viridiplantae; Streptophyta; Magnoliopsida; Malpighiales; Euphorbiaceae. The record is from RNAcentral.
AAGAGAUCAGAAAUGUGGGUGAGCGCUUCCCUCUUUGUUUGACUAUUUGCUUGAGAAUUUUUAUGUAUCGAUUGAUUUUCUGUAUCUGUGUAUUGUGAUUACUCUUCAUUACUGUUCAAUAUGAUUUCAUGUCAAACAACCCAUCGGGAGAAAAUCCUGAAGGAGAAAAAUGUUGAUUUCUCCACUCACGAAGAAAACGGAAAUUCGAACAUUUUUUUCCUCAAAAACACAGUGGAAAACUAAAGCAGCAGAAACAG